GCGUGCAAUCAUACCAGUGUUAAUGCACCAGAUCCCAUCAGAACUCUGCAGUUAAGUGCGCUUGGAAUAGAGUAGUACUGGGAUGGGUGACCUCCCGGGAAGUCCUAGUGUUGCACCCU
This is a non-coding RNA of Picea glauca (white spruce), 119 nucleotides long. The record is from Rfam. NCBI's taxonomy places the organism in Eukaryota, Viridiplantae, Streptophyta, Pinopsida, Pinales, Pinaceae.